RNAcentral lists this transfer RNA (73 nucleotides) under Canis lupus familiaris (dog). It matches the Rfam family "tRNA". From Rfam's summary of the family: Transfer RNA (tRNA) molecules are approximately 80 nucleotides in length. RNAcentral also lists the same sequence under 1 other name. Lineage: Eukaryota; Metazoa; Chordata; Mammalia; Carnivora; Canidae. The record is from Rfam by way of RNAcentral.
ACCUGGCUGGCUCAGUCAGUAGAGCACACGACUCUUGAUCUUGGGGUCAUGGGUUCAAGCCCCAAGGUGGGUA